This is a long non-coding RNA of Sander lucioperca (pikeperch), 85 nucleotides long. RefSeq lists it as uncharacterized. The transcript has 2 exons. The record is from RefSeq and is a predicted model, not a curated record. Lineage: Eukaryota; Metazoa; Chordata; Actinopteri; Perciformes; Percidae.
AUCAAACGUAAUAGUAUAUUAUGAGGAAAAAAGUGUUAAAAAAUCAUAGUAUAGUAUGUCGACAAAAAUCAUAGUAUAGUAUGUC